RNAcentral lists this ribosomal RNA (253 nucleotides) under uncultured bacterium. RNAcentral describes it as "partial 16S ribosomal RNA". It matches the Rfam family "Bacterial small subunit ribosomal RNA", at positions 524 to 776 of the family's 1533-position model. The record is from RNAcentral.
UACGGGGGGGCAAGCGUUGUUCGGAAUUACUGGGCGUAAAAGGCUCGUAGGCGGCCAACUAAGUCAGACGUGAAAUCCCUCGGCUUAACCGGGGAACUGCGUCUGAUACUGGAUGGCUUGAGAUUGGGAGAGGGAUGCGGAAUUCCAGGUGUAGCGGUGAAAUGCGUAGAUAUCUGGAGGAACACCGGUGGCGAAGGCGGCAUCCUGGACCAACACUGACGCUGAGGGAGCGAAAGCCAGGGGAGCAAACGGG